UAUUUUAAUUGAGGAACUAUAAAAAUGUAUAAAAACUACAACAAAAAAAUAUUUAAAAUUUCUUUAAGUAAAUCAUAUAAUUAUUCUCUUAAUAAACAGUUCUGCUUCAGUUGAUUUUACAGUGUUUACCAUGGAGUUCAAACAUUUUCGAGUUCCAUAUUGAACAGCGCGCCAAACACUUAUGAUAAAUGCGUAUUUUCACCUGCUGCGUCGACGUCAGACGACAUUUGUGUAGCAAUUGAAAUCUUUAUACGAUAUUCUGGCCCGGACAAUGCCUAUAAAUAUUGCCCAGCCAGCCAUUAAGCGGGUUUUGGCAACCGCUGUGCAAAUUGGUAGCCGUAACCGCCCAGCGCCUCAAAUAGAUGGAUGACUCUCGGGUAGCAGUCGGUGUGUGCACGUUUAAUGGCUUCAAUUAAGACGCAUGAUUUGUGGCCGUUAGCCCCUUACAUUUGUUCUUGCUAACAAAUUAAUUUAGAAAAUACAACAAACACAUUGUAAAUAUUGCCCGAGGCGUUAUACGAACUGCAUUGGGAACAAUAUAACAAAUUGCCAGCUAAACUGUGGGACUUAAUUAACAAAUGCCACUUCUAUAUAAAAAAGCGUAUAUAUGUAUAUAUGUACACAGAUAUUUAUGUAUGUAUUUACCAGUGAAGAACCUAUAGGAAAAAAUGACGCAAAGUUCAAAGCACCGCAUCAGAGAGUUGAUUCGAUCCGAUACGCUGAAGCUGGACUCGUAAAUUUUGUAGAGCUUUCAAUUUUGAUCCUAUCAGCAGGUGUUAAAUAAAUUGAAUAUUAAUUAAUGAUUUCAUGAGUGAAAUAAAUACCGAACUUACCAUCUAAAUAAAAUAGCGGCUCGCGUAAAAGAGAAAUUAAUUUUGUGGUUUAUAAAAUUUCAGCUUUAAGGAAUUUCAAUUGCUUGUAAAGUUAAGUUCAAGGCUGCGGCUUUA
This is a long non-coding RNA of Drosophila mojavensis, 947 nucleotides long. RefSeq lists it as uncharacterized. The record is from RefSeq and is a predicted model, not a curated record. The transcript is spliced from 2 exons. Lineage: Eukaryota; Metazoa; Arthropoda; Insecta; Diptera; Drosophilidae.